AAAUUGCCACACGAAUGAGCCACACAAAAUACACUAACCCUAAGGAAUUUCACUAAACAAAUGGAGAUUACAAAAGAGUGUUUAAACUCUCACAACCCAAAUCCCACAAAUUACAAACCCUAAACCAAACGAGUAGAGAACUCAAACAAACGGAGAAGAUUCUCCCAAAUUGCUCUCCAACUCACAAACUAGCAAAUUGACUUCACCAAAUUGCCACACGAAUGAGCCACACAAAAUACACUAACCCUAAGGUCCUAUUUAUAGUGCAUAGGACUUAGGUUACAAUAAGAAUCCUAAUAGAAAGUAAAUCCAAAUCCUAAUCAAAUAGGUAAUUAACAAAAUCUCUCCACCAAGGAAACCAACUAAGAAGUCAAAACCAAACCCAAAUAGGACACCAAAACCAAAUAGGCAACACAAACCUAAU
RNAcentral lists this small RNA (424 nucleotides) under Malus domestica (apple). RNAcentral describes it as "sRNA MD04G0071900". The record is from RNAcentral. Lineage: Eukaryota; Viridiplantae; Streptophyta; Magnoliopsida; Rosales; Rosaceae.